GACGAACGCUGGCGGCGUGCCUAACACAUGCAAGUCGAGCGGAGAUUCAAGGAGCAGCUUGCUGCACUUUGAAUCUUAGCGGCGGACGGGUGAGUAACGCGUGGGUAAUCUGCCUCAAACAGGGGGAUAACACAGGGAAACUUGUGCUAAUACCGCAUAAGACCCCAUCAUGGCAUCAUGAAGAGGUCAAAGGAAGAAAUUCCGGUUUGAGAUGAGCCCGCGUCUGAUUAGCUAGUUGGUGAGGUAACAGCUCACCAAGGCGACGAUCAGUAGCCGAACUGAGAGGUUGAUCGGCCACAUUGGGACUGAGACACGGCCCAGACUCCUACGGGAGGCAGCAGUGGGGAAUAUUGCACAAUGGGGGGAACCCUGAUGCAGCGACGCCGCGUGAAGGAAGAAGGCCUUCGGGUUGUAAACUUCUUUGACCAGGGACGAAUAAAUGACGGUACCUGGAGAACAAGCCACGGCUAACUACGUG
Molecule: ribosomal RNA, 478 nt
Filed under: uncultured bacterium
Lineage: Bacteria
Description: bacterial SSU rRNA
Rfam family: Bacterial small subunit ribosomal RNA
Source: RNAcentral